Long non-coding RNA from Ailuropoda melanoleuca (giant panda), 140 nucleotides. RefSeq lists it as uncharacterized. The transcript has 3 exons. Lineage: Eukaryota; Metazoa; Chordata; Mammalia; Carnivora; Ursidae. The record is from RefSeq and is a predicted model, not a curated record.
CUUUGAAGCCGCGACUUGCUCAAGCAAACCAACAACGCUUCAAGGUAGAUGCAUGAUGACCAAAUAUCUUGGCUCAAGAUCUGGAAACCCAUCACCAUAGUGGGGUUUUUGCUAAAUGUAAGUGUGCUCAGUUGGACCUC